UGUGAACGUUACCAAACUGUUGCCUCGGCGGGAUCUCUGCCCCGGGUGCGUCGCAGCCCCGGACCAAGGCGCCCGCCGGAGGACCAACCAAAACUCUUUUUGUAUACCCCCUCGCGGGUUUUUUUAUAAUCUGAGCCUUCUCGGCGCCUCUCGUAGGCGUUUCGAAAAUGAAUCAAAACUUUCAACAACGGAUCUCUUGGUUCUGGCAUCGAUGAAGAACGCAGCGAAAUGCGAUAAGUAAUGUGAAUUGCAGAAUUCAGUGAAUCAUCGAAUCUUUGAACGCACAUUGCGCCCGCCAGUAUUCUGGCGGGCAUGCCUGUCCGAGCGUCAUUUCAACCCUCGAACCCCUCCGGGGGGUCGGCGUUGGGGAUCGGCCCUCCCUUAGCGGGUGGCCGUCUCCGAAAUACAGUGGCGGUCUCGCCGCAGCCUCUCCUGCGCAGUAGUUUGCACACUCGCAUCGGGAGCGCGGCGCGUCCACAGCCGUUAAACACCCAACUUCUGAAAUGUUGACCUCGGAUCAGGUAGGAAUACCCGCUGAACUUAAGCAUAUCAAUAA
This 556-nucleotide ribosomal RNA is filed under the name fungal sp. AM2013. Its description in RNAcentral is "eukaryotic LSU rRNA". The stretch from base 177 to 330 matches the Rfam family "5.8S ribosomal RNA". Lineage: Eukaryota; Fungi. The record is from RNAcentral.